Molecule: long non-coding RNA, 608 nt
Organism: Passer domesticus (house sparrow)
Lineage: Eukaryota; Metazoa; Chordata; Aves; Passeriformes; Passeridae
Exons: 3
Source: RefSeq, a predicted model, not a curated record
AGUGCUGCAUCUGUGACAUCAGAGUGCUUCUAAAAUCUGAGGGAAGCUGAAGUUAGAGGCAAGGCAGGUUUCUUUUGAGAAGGAUGAAAAAAAUGACUGAGUCAUACAAGUCAGGCAACAUUGCUUGAGAAGUUUUACUCAACAGAGGAGCCUGAAGGAAUUGGACCAAGUUAACUGAGGCAUGGGAACAGCUCCUUUUGAACACUCCCCGUCUUGCCAAUGCCAUAUUAAUGACCACGGAAAACAAAACUGGCUCAGGAGCAGUGUUUGCACACAGACGUUUCCAGACGUUACAAAAGCCCAAGAAUCAUAGUGAAGAAAGAAGAAGGGUCUUUAAAAUUCUUCAGCUUCCACUUGACCUACAUUUGAGUUCGUCGGCUGUGGGCAGUAGACAAACCCCUCAGGAAAGCCAGAUUUGAUGCAGCUUGAGACAUAAUAUGAGCAUUUGCUGCACAGCAGGCUGUGGGCCAGGGAGGGGGAAAAAAGGCAUACCCCUGUAUUUUUGUAAACAGCUCCUCUGUGUUCAGAGCCAUAGACUGGAUGAAAUCUGCCUUACUGCUUUCUAAUGACAUUUACAUUGUGUAUUUAAAUAUUUCAGAGCCUGAAAA